CCCCAACUGAGGCCAUAGGAUGGCCGCCUCCUUACAGCUGGGGCUGAGGGCCCCAGGCCAGGAAAAGGGGGCUUAAUUCACCAUGAAGCUGUGUGUACAGUUCAAAAGCAUAUCUCUUGGUCUCUAAUUUGUCCUUGUUGUUCGGCUUACAAGGAAUGGAAGAUCAUUUCCUCCAUUUACACCUUCAUCAUCUGACUCUCAGACAGGAAAACCGGCCACUGAUUGAAGUGCCCCGGAGAAACCCAGCUCCUCUCAGGGUCGGUCUGUUGUGAUGAAUCCAGACAUGUACAAGCUCCCUCAACGGAGAGCUGAAGCAGCUAUAUACUGCUAUCACACGGGCCCGGGUCAACCUCUGGAUCUUUGAUGAAACCCAGAGAAGCGGGCUCCUGCUUUCAAAUAUUUCAUGAGAAGAAAUUUUGUCCAGGUUGUGAAAGACAGAUGAAAAUAAAGACUUUGAUGACAGCAUGUUUGUUAAGACCUCAACACCUGAGGAAUGGAUCGCGCAGGGAGAAUAUUAUGCUAAACACCAGUGCUGGAAGGUGGCAGCCAAGUGUUACCAAAAAGGAGGUGCGUUGA
Molecule: long non-coding RNA, 576 nt
Filed under: Lynx canadensis (Canada lynx)
Lineage: Eukaryota; Metazoa; Chordata; Mammalia; Carnivora; Felidae
Description: lncRNA (ENSLCNG00005021969.1)
Source: RNAcentral